GAGAAUGUGAAGUAUUGAUUACAGCUCCAAUCUCUCUGUUACUGUCUCCUUCAGUGUAAUGCAAUAUUAAUAUUGUUUGUUUUAACUGAGUUUUAAUCAAAUCACACUCAUUGGUCUAUCCCCAUACCUUCUUGAUCAUCCUUAACAGGAAAUAAAAUGACACACCUUGACCUAAUAUGUCUAACAUUACUUUAUGUUCAAUAUUUUAGAGGCAUUUCGACAGCUCAUUUUGGUCAACCGAUCCAAACGGCCAAGCAAAGAGUUGAAAUGCUACAGCAAAGCUCUACAUGAGCUGAUCAAAGCGGUUUCUAACCAUCCUUGCCAGUUUGGCAGUGAUCAUGAUCUGCAUGACAGUAAUGAGGACCUGAGUGGAGACUCUACAGCUACCCCGCUUCAGGACUCCCAGGUGCUGUUUACAGAAACAGAUGUGACCUUGCCUUCCUGUCUGGAUGAUAGCCCCGGGUCCCAGGAAAAUGAGACCGACAGGAAGUUGCAGAGAGCUCGCCAACUCCCUGACUCAUGCCGUUCCUCUUCCUUAGUACUAGUGAAGGUGUACCAGGAGAUGAUGACCAUCUACAAACAACUAAAGGUGAGAAAGCAGAACCAUUGUAACGGCGUUUAUCCGUGAAUCCAGAUGGGGCAAAUACAGAACAGAGAAGCUGACCCGGUGUAAGAUUCCU
This 680-nucleotide long non-coding RNA is filed under the name Cottoperca gobio. RNAcentral's name for it is "lncRNA (ENSCGOG00000010903.1)". Lineage: Eukaryota; Metazoa; Chordata; Actinopteri; Perciformes; Bovichtidae. The record is from RNAcentral.